This is a long non-coding RNA of Haplochromis burtoni (Burton's mouthbrooder), 291 nucleotides long. RefSeq lists it as uncharacterized. NCBI's taxonomy places the organism in Eukaryota, Metazoa, Chordata, Actinopteri, Cichliformes, Cichlidae. The record is from RefSeq and is a predicted model, not a curated record. The transcript is spliced from 3 exons.
CCCUCCCUCUAAAAGCACUCUGUGUGGGGAACAUGAGAGCCAGACCAAAGCUCAGAGGAAUAAACGAGGAACAAAACGUAAAUAUGAACCUAAAUCCGGCUGUGUGUCCUUGAAGAGUGAUUUGUCUGCAGAUCGUCCCAUUAAUUUUAAAGUCCAGCCUGUGUCUGCUGCAGAGAGAAUGACUGAAGUCCACAACAAGAUGAUGAUCGAGGAAGAGGAAGUCAGGUCAAGAUUCCCAUCUGUGAGGAGUGACUGGUCCAAAGAUAGCAAUCCAAACUUCAGUAAUGAACC